Molecule: ribosomal RNA, 407 nt
Filed under: uncultured bacterium
Lineage: Bacteria
Description: partial 16S ribosomal RNA
Rfam family: Bacterial small subunit ribosomal RNA
Source: RNAcentral
GACGAACGCUGGCGGCAGGCCUAACACAUGCAAGUCGAGCGGAGCGGCGGACGGGUGAGUAAUGCCUGGGAAUCUGCCCGGUAGUGGUGGAUAACGUCCGGAAAAGGGCGCUAAUACCGCAUACUAUCAGAUGAGCCUAGGUCGGAUUAGCUCGUUGGUGGGGUAAAGGCCUACCAAGGCGCAGAACCGUAACUGGUCUGAGAGGAGGAGCAGUAACCCGGGAACUGAGACACGGUCCAGACUCCUACGGGAGGCAGCAGUGGGAAAUAUUGGACAAGGGGCGCAAGCGUGAUGCAGCCAGGCGGCGUGGAUGAAGAAGGCCUUAGGGUUGUAAAGUACUUUCAGCGGGGAGGCGUUACCCAAAGAAGAAGCACCGGCUAACUCCGUGCCAGCAGCCGCGGUAAUUC